RNAcentral lists this ribosomal RNA (433 nucleotides) under uncultured bacterium. RNAcentral describes it as "partial 16S ribosomal RNA". It matches the Rfam family "Bacterial small subunit ribosomal RNA", at positions 29 to 507 of the family's 1533-position model. The record is from RNAcentral.
AACGAACGCUGGCGGCAUGCCUAACACAUGCAAGUCGAACGAGACCUUCGGGUCUAGUGGCGCACGGGUGCGUAACGCGUGGGAACCUGCCCUUAGGUUCGGAAUAACUCCCCGAAAGGGGUGCUAAUACCGGAUAAUGUCUUCGGACCAAAGAUUUAUCGCCUUUGGAUGGGCCCGCGUUGGAUUAGCUAGUUGGGAGGGUAAAAGCCUACCAAGGCGACGAUCCAUAGCUUGUCUGAGAGGAUGAUCAGCGACACUGGGACUGAGACGCGGCCCAGACUCUUACGGGAAGCGGGAGUGGGUGAUGGUGCAAAACGGGGGGAGGGCUGAACGUGCUCUGAUGGGUAAGCGCUGUAGGUCGGAGGGUUGUAAAGUUUAAGUAACCGGGAUGAUAAUGACGGUACCUGAAGAAUAAGCUCCGGCUAACUACGUG